Molecule: long non-coding RNA, 274 nt
Organism: Symphalangus syndactylus (siamang)
Lineage: Eukaryota; Metazoa; Chordata; Mammalia; Primates; Hylobatidae
Source: RefSeq, a predicted model, not a curated record
AAAGCAAUAAAAGUAGGGGGAAACAUGACCAGCAAAAAAGAAACAAAAUUCAUCUCUCUCGUCUAAACUCAAGAGGGCCGAUUCUUCCUGAGUUAACAUUAUUAAAUUCAAAGGAAGCAGUACUAUACUUCCAAGCUAUAAAUGAUUGAGACAGCUAGAAUUUGACUCUAGCACAGAGAAACAAACAGACCACAUCAAACCAUAACCAGAUCAAGAUCCUCUUUAUAACAAUUCUAACACAAAAUGGAAUAUUCAUCACUCACACCUACUGGCC